RNAcentral lists this ribosomal RNA (424 nucleotides) under uncultured bacterium. Its description in RNAcentral is "partial 16S ribosomal RNA". It matches the Rfam family "Bacterial small subunit ribosomal RNA", at positions 360 to 776 of the family's 1533-position model. The record is from RNAcentral.
AAUUUUCGGCAAUGGAGGAAACUCUGACCGAGCAAUGCCGCGUGAAUGAUGAAGGUCUUCGGAUCNUAAAGUUCUGUUAUCAGGAANGAACAGUACUAAUAGGAAAUGAUUAGUAUUUGACGGUACCUGAUUAGAAAGCCCCGGCUAACUAUGUGCCAGCAGCCGCGGUAAUACAUAGGGGGCAAGCGUUGUCCGGAAUUACUGGGCGUAAAGGGUGCGUAGGCGGCCGUUUAAGUCAGAUGUGAAAUACCACGGCUCAACUGUGGGGGUGCAUUUGAAACUGGAUGGCUUGAGUGCAGGAGAGGAAAGUGGAAUUCCUAGUGUAGCGGUGAAUUGCGUAGAUAUUAGGAGGAACACCAGUGGCGAAGGCGACUUACUGGACUGUAACUGACGCUGAGGCGCGAAAGCGUGGGGAGCAAACAGG